Molecule: ribosomal RNA, 800 nt
Filed under: uncultured Bacteroidota bacterium
Lineage: Bacteria; Pseudomonadati; Bacteroidota
Description: bacterial SSU rRNA
Rfam family: Bacterial small subunit ribosomal RNA
Source: RNAcentral
AGGAGAGUUUGAUCCUGGCUCAGGAUGAACGCUAGCGGCAGGCCUAAUACAUGCAAGUCGUACGGGAACCCCUCCCUCGGGAGGGGUGAGAGUGGCGGACGGGUGCGUUACGCGUAUGCAACCAACCCCCGACGGGCGUACAGCCGGUGGAAACGCCGGGUGAUGCGCCAUGCGGCCGGGAGAGGGCAUCCUCUUUCGGCGAAAGCCCUUGGGCGGUCGGGGACGGGCAUGCGUGCCAUUAGCUAGUUGGUGGGGCGACGGCCCACCAAGGCUACGAUGGCUAGGGGAUCUGAGAGGACGGUCCCCCACACUGGUACUGAGACACGGACCAGACUCCUGCGGGAGGCAGCAGUAAGGGAUAUUGGGCAAUGGGGGGAACCCUGACCCAGCCAUGCCGCGUGAGGGAAUGAGGCCCUACGGGUCGUGAACCUCUUUUAUCCGGGGACAAUACCCCGCACGGGAUGCGGGGUUGAGGGUACCGGAAGAAUAAGCAUCGGCUAACUCCGUGCCAGCAGCCGCGGUAAUACGGAGGAUGCGAGCGUUAUCCGGAUUUAUUGGGUUUAAAGGGUGCGUAGGCUGUUCGGAAAGUCAGGGGUGAAAGCCCGGCGCUUAACGCCGGAACUGCCUUUGAUACUUCCGAGCUGGAAUACGGAUGCCGUGGGAGGAAUGAGUAGUGUAGCGGUGAAAUGCAUAGAUAUUACUCAGAACACCGAUUGCGAAGGCAUCUCACGAAUCCGUCAUUGACGCUGAGGCACGAAAGCGUGGGGAUCAAACAGGAUUAGAUACCCUGGUAGUCCCCU